GAGGUUGUGGCUCAGUGGUAGAGCGCUCGCCUAGCUCCUGCGAGACACUGGGUUUGAUCCUCAGCACCACA
RNAcentral lists this transfer RNA (71 nucleotides) under Marmota monax (woodchuck). RNAcentral describes it as "tRNA.Leu". Lineage: Eukaryota; Metazoa; Chordata; Mammalia; Rodentia; Sciuridae. The record is from RNAcentral.